RNAcentral lists this microRNA precursor (160 nucleotides) under Pelobates cultripes (western spadefoot toad). Lineage: Eukaryota; Metazoa; Chordata; Amphibia; Anura; Pelobatidae. The record is from RNAcentral.
GAGAGAUAAUAAAAAGAAAAAAUGCCUUGGAGUAUUAGAGAGGAUAGAAGGCAUAAAGCCGUUCCUUUCAAGAUAUACCUCUGGGGGUAUCUUGAAAGGAACGGCUUUAUGCCUUCUAUCCUCUCUAAUACUCCGAGGCAUUUUUUCUUUUCUUUUCUAU